Molecule: ribosomal RNA, 1426 nt
Filed under: uncultured bacterium
Lineage: Bacteria
Description: bacterial SSU rRNA
Rfam family: Bacterial small subunit ribosomal RNA
Source: RNAcentral
GACGAACGCUGGCGGCGUGCCUAACACAUGCAAGUCGAGCGAGGAGAUUCCCUUCGGGGAUGAACCUAGCGGCGGACGGGUGAGUAACACGUGGGCAACCUGCCUUAUAGAGGGGAAUAGCCUUCCGAAAGGAAGAUUAAUACCGCAUAACAUUACAUUUUCGCAUGAAGAAGUAAUUAAAGGAGUAAUCCGCUAUAAGAUGGGCCCGCGGCGCAUUAGCUAGUUGGUGAGGUAACGGCUCACCAAGGCGACGAUGCGUAGCCGACCUGAGAGGGUGAUCGGCCACAUUGGGACUGAGACACGGCCCAGACUCCUACGGGAGGCAGCAGUGGGGAAUAUUGCACAAUGGGGGAAACCCUGAUGCAGCAACGCCGCGUGAGUGAUGAAGGUCUUCGGAUCGUAAAGCUCUGUCUUCAGGGACGAUAAUGACGGUACCUGAGGAGGAAGCCACGGCUAACUACGUGCCAGCAGCCGCGGUAAUACGUAGGUGGCGAGCGUUGUCCGGAUUUACUGGGCGUAAAGGGAGCGUAGGCGGAUUUUUAAGUGAGAUGUGAAAUACCCGGGCUCAACUUGGGUGCUGCAUUUCAAACUGGAAGUCUAGAGUGCAGGAGAGGAGAGUGGAAUUCCUAGUGUAGCGGUGAAAUGCGUAGAGAUUAGAAAGAACACCAGUGGCGAAGGCGACUCUCUGGACUGUAACUGACGCUGAGGCUCGAAAGCGUGGGGAGCAAACAGGGAUUAGAUACCCUGGGUGGUCCACGCCGUAAACGAUGAAUACUAGGUGAGGGGGUUGUCAUGACUUCUGUGCCGCCGCAAACGCAUUAAGUAUUCCGCCUGGGGAGUACGGUCGCAAGAUUAAAACUCAAAGGAAUUGACGGGGGCCCGCACAAGCAGCGGAGCAUGUGGUUUAAUUCGAAGCAACGCGAAGAACCUUACCUAGACUUGACAUCUCCUGAAUUACUCUUAAUCGAGGAAGUCCCUUCGGGGACAGGAAGACAGGUGGUGCAUGGUUGUCGUCAGCUCGUGUCGUGAGAUGUUGGGUUAAGUCCCGCAACGAGCGCAACCCUUAUUGUUAGUUGCUACCAUUAAGUUGAGCACUCUAGCAAGACUGCCCGGGUUAACCGGGAGGAAGGUGGGGAUGACGUCAAAUCAUCAUGCCCCUUAUGUCUAGGGCUACACACGUGCUACAAUGGCAAGUACAAAAAGAUGCAAUACCGCAAGGUGGAGCUAAACUUAAAAACUUGUCUCAGUUCGGAUUGUAGGCUGAAACUCGCCUACAUGAAGCUGGAGUUGCUAGUAAUCGCGAAUCAGAAUGUCGCGGUGAAUACGUUCCCGGGCCUUGUACACACCGCCCGUCACACCAUGAGAGUUGGCAAUACCCAAAGUUCGUGAGCUAACGCGUAAGGGAGGCAGCGACCUAAGGUAGGGU